RNAcentral lists this transfer RNA (71 nucleotides) under Danio rerio (zebrafish). It matches the Rfam family "tRNA". From Rfam's summary of the family: Transfer RNA (tRNA) molecules are approximately 80 nucleotides in length. The record is from Rfam by way of RNAcentral. Lineage: Eukaryota; Metazoa; Chordata; Actinopteri; Cypriniformes; Danionidae.
ACAUUGGUGGGUCAGUGGUAGAAUUCUCGCCUGCCACGCGGGAGACCCGGGUCCGAUUCCCGGCCAAUGCA